AUUUAACAAUCUCUCAUUCGAAGGAGAAUUAUUCGCUCGAAUUACUCAUUUAGCAACUGUACUGUGAAAAUCGGAUACGUCAAUUGUUUGCGCGAUAUACGUGUGAUCAACUCUUUCUAUAUAAAAAUUAUUUUGUUUAAAUGUGAUUUGAAGUAUUAGGAAAAGUGAUAUAAUUAUUCUGAGACGCCUACAGAUACAAUAAACUUUGGCUCAUCUGUACGGAAUUACGAGCGUAAUGAAAUAAAAUAUAAAGCUAUGAGAAAACGGCAAUACUAAGAAUAAGCGUGAUAAAUUUUUUAGUAAAGAUGAGGAUCUUACGAGAACAUUUGUUAUUUUGCACCCUAAUCACAUUACUGAGCGGAAACGUAGCAGAUAAAUCUCCCUUUCACGAUGGUAA
Wasmannia auropunctata (little fire ant) is the source of this 397-nucleotide long non-coding RNA. RefSeq lists it as uncharacterized. The record is from RefSeq and is a predicted model, not a curated record. Lineage: Eukaryota; Metazoa; Arthropoda; Insecta; Hymenoptera; Formicidae. The transcript is spliced from 2 exons.